Molecule: ribosomal RNA, 583 nt
Filed under: Phaenomerus peregrinator salomonicus
Lineage: Eukaryota; Metazoa; Arthropoda; Insecta; Coleoptera; Curculionidae
Description: SSU rRNA
Rfam family: Eukaryotic small subunit ribosomal RNA
Source: RNAcentral
UUGUCUCAAAGAUUAAGCCAUGCAUGUCUCAGUACGAGCCCUAUUUGGGCGAAACCGCGAAAGGCUCAUUAAAUCAGUUAUGGUUCCUUAGAUCGUACCCACAAUUACUUGGAUAACUGUGGUAAUUCUAGAGCUAACACAUGCUUACAGAACUCCAACCGGAGACGGAAGGAGUGCUUUUAUUAGAUCAAAACCAAUAGGUGGCUUAAUGGUGAAUCUGAAUAACUUUAUGCUGAUCGCAUGGUCUUGCACCGGCGACAUAUCUUUCAAAUGUCUGACUUAUCAACUGUCGAUGGUAGGUUCUGCGCCUACCAUGGUUGUAACGGGUAACGGGGAAUCAGGGUUCGAUUCCGGAGAGGGAGCCUGAGAAACGGCUACCACAUCCAAGGAAGGCAGCAGGCGCGCAAAUUACCCACUCCCGGCACGGGGAGGUAGUGACGAAAAAUAACGAUACGGGACUCAUCCGAGGCCCCGUAAUCGGAAUGAGCACACUCUAAACCCUUUAACGAGGAUCAAUUGGAGGGCAAGUCUGGUGCCAGCAGCCGCGGUAAUUCCAGCUCCAAUAGCGUAUAUUAAAGUUGUU